UACGUAGGGUGCAAGCGUUAAUCGGAAUUACUGGGCGUAAAGCGUGCGCAGGCGGUGAUGUAAGACAGAUGUGAAAUCCCCGGGCUCAACCUGGGAACUGCAUUUGUGACUGCAUCGCUAGAGUACGGCAGAGGGGGGAUGGAAUUCCGCGUGUAGCAGUGAAAUGCGUAGAUAUGCGGAGGAACACCGAUGGCGAAGGCAAUCCCCUGGGCCUGUACUGACGCUCAUGCACGAAAGCGUGGGGAGCAAACAGG
RNAcentral lists this ribosomal RNA (254 nucleotides) under uncultured bacterium. RNAcentral's name for it is "partial 16S ribosomal RNA". It matches the Rfam family "Bacterial small subunit ribosomal RNA", at positions 524 to 776 of the family's 1533-position model. The record is from RNAcentral.